This is a long non-coding RNA of Salvia miltiorrhiza (redroot sage), 522 nucleotides long. RefSeq lists it as uncharacterized. The transcript is spliced from 3 exons. The record is from RefSeq and is a predicted model, not a curated record. Lineage: Eukaryota; Viridiplantae; Streptophyta; Magnoliopsida; Lamiales; Lamiaceae.
AGUCAAACACUCUUAACUCACGUUGAUUUUCAGCCCACACACAACUCACACACACUAACACCUAAAACACACACACCAUUCACGCAUAUACCAUUUUUAGCUUGAGCUCAAGCUUUUGAGCUCCGAUUUGAGCACCGAGAUGAACGCCGAUCAUCUUUUCGAUCACGUAUCUAAGUAGGUCCUUUUGGGAAGUAACGACUUGAGGGAGAGAGUGACGUUACUCAUUGAUACAGAGACACAACGAGGUUGAGCUGAUGUGAUGAUGGUGCUGCAAUGAGCGGAGUCUCCAGGGUUGUUAAUAAAUAGUUAACCUGUCUAGAAUAUGUCUUCAUACAUAUGUCUAGCUACUUUCCGCUGCAAGAUGUUGUUGAUGUUAUAGUAUGUUAUGUCAUACUUUGAGUCUUAAGAGAAUGGUUUCAUACGAUGUAUAACUUGAUUAAUGAUAUUAAUUAAGUUUUAUGCUGUCUUUCAUAGACUGUUUUCAAUUGAGUAUUAAUGAAUAAAAAUGACGAGUUUUAUUAA